GAUGAAUGCUGGCGGCGUGCCUAACACAUGCAAGUCGAGCGGUAACAGGUCUAGUUUACUAGAUGCUGACGAGCGGCGGACGGCUGAGUAACGCGUGGGAAUCUGCCCCAAAGUGAGGGAUAACUGCCCGAAAGGGUAGCUAAUACCGCAUAUGGUCUUCGGAUUAAAGUAUUUAUACGCUUUGGGAGGAGCCCGCGUCGGAUUAGGUUGUUGGUAGGGUAAUGGCCUACCAAGCCGACGAUCCGUAGCUGGUCUGAGAGGAUGAUCAGCCAGACUGGGACUGAGACACGGCCCAGACUCCUACGGGAGGCAGCAGUGAGGAAUCUUCCACAAUGGGCGAAAGCCUGAUGGAGCAACGCCGCGUUGAAGGAUGAAGGCCCUCGGGUUGUAAACUUCUUUUAUGAGUGAAGAAUAUGACGGUAACUCAUGAAUAAGCACCGGCUAACUACGUGCCAGCAGCCGCGGUAAUGUCU
Molecule: ribosomal RNA, 473 nt
Filed under: uncultured bacterium
Lineage: Bacteria
Description: bacterial SSU rRNA
Rfam family: Bacterial small subunit ribosomal RNA
Source: RNAcentral